This 119-nucleotide ribosomal RNA is filed under the name Betta splendens (Siamese fighting fish). Lineage: Eukaryota; Metazoa; Chordata; Actinopteri; Anabantiformes; Osphronemidae. The record is from RNAcentral.
GCUUAUGGCCAUACCACCCUGAGCAAGCCCGAUCUCGUCUGAUCUCGAAAGCUAAGCAGAGUCGGGCCUGGUUAGUACUUGAAUGGGAGACCGCCUGGGAAUACCAGGUAAUCUAAGCU